Homo sapiens (human) is the source of this 3738-nucleotide long non-coding RNA. Ensembl annotates it as cytoplasmic endogenous regulator of oxidative phosphorylation 1. Its record names the gene CEROX1. Lineage: Eukaryota; Metazoa; Chordata; Mammalia; Primates; Hominidae. The record is from Ensembl.
GAGGCGGAGCCCGGCCGCCCCCGCCCCCCCACCCAUAAAGAAAGCUCCGCGGCUCUCGCCGCGCCCCCGCCUGCCCCGCCCGGCGCCGCACCACGUGGGCCAGGCGCCCCACGCCUGGAGCUCCCCUCUCUGGAGCCCCGGGAAAGGAAGCGGGGCAGGGAGGCCGGGUGGGAGCAGGGGGGUCUCCGGCGCUUCCUCUCCUCUGCGGGCGCCGCGCGGCUCCUGAGAGUCCGCCCCCCGUCCUGACGCUCAGCUAGGAAGCGGGUCCUCGGGCCCCUCCCCCGACACACACACACACACACACACACACACACACACACACACACACUCUCUCUCUCUCUCUCUCUCUCUCUCUCUCUCUCUCUCUCUCUCACACACACACACACACACACAGCCCGUCUCGCGCCUGAGGUCUCGCCCGCAGGCCGGUGGCGCGGGGUCAGCUGCUGCCUGCGGUCCAGGACAGGGUCGGUUCCGCCGCGCAGCGCCCAGGCCCAGCUCGUCCAGAGUCUGCGGACAGCGCACGUCCAGACAUCGCCCACUCGGGCUCACAGUGCCAUCCGGGUGAGGACCUCCGUGGAGAGCUCUCUUUGCCAAAGAAAAGCAGUUGCAUUAGGUCUGCGAGCAGGCAGGGUGGCCUCUUCCUGGCUCCCCAUCCACCAAGGAAGCUUCAAGUCCCUGGGACACAGGCACUUUCCCACACAGGAUGGAGCCGGGCCACCCUCACAGCUCCUGCCCUGCAGACGCUGGCCUUGUGGAGGGAGGCAGGCAGCAGGAGCAGUGCUUUCUGGGCCUCUGUAGCCAGAGCUGGCCCUGCUGCAGCUUACGUCUGCCUGCAGCCCAGACGUCCUCCUGGUCCUCCUGAUGCCCCCGACCUCCACGGAGGACGAGCAUUUCCAGCCCAGCCCUCCCCAUCUUCACCUCGCACUCCCCUGACACACUGGGAGCCUCCUGAUCCGUGAACCCGCGCUGGCGGGAGUAGCUACUGACCGCUGGGGACCCCUGCCCAGGCUGUUCGCAUGUGGAAAGGAUUCAGGGAGCAGGCGAUGCCCAAAGCGUGGAGACCAGCACUGCUCUCUCCCCAGUGACAGGUGCACGCCCAGAUCACGGAUGUGUCGGGAACAGCUGUGCUCCUGCUGCUCAGCGUCCGUCACUCCAGGCUGGGAGCGGGUCCCCAAGCUUCUGGCUGGGCCUAUCCGUCUCCACUCUCAGUGUGGGGGUGGGGGGCGCCAACAGCACGCAUUUGCUCUCUGCACUUCUCGUCUGAUAAUGGGCAGAGGGUCCUUCUGCAGCCCCAAAACAUCCCUAGGCAGGAGCCCUGGGGCCCCAAGCAGCCAGGGAGGUGAGCACCAAGGACCUCCCAGAGAGCGUCACCUUCCGUCGAGGGAGGCCCAGCCUGGGGGCGGUGUCUGAGACUUGGAAUCAACGCUUCCGUUGGUGGCAGUAAAUCCUGUCCCUAACCCUGCAGUACAGCUGUGCCGUGUACAGGAGGGUGCUGUCUGACGCCAGACACCUGGACUACAGAUCGCAGCCUGAUUCCUGGUCAUUGCUCCACUGAACCCCAGACCCCAGCCUCGUUCUGGGCCCUCAUCCCCUAGAUCCAGGGACCCCAGCCCCAUUUCAGCCCUUGGGCCCUUGUAGGAUGCGAGGCCCUGGGCCCCAGCCCCCAGCCCAUCCGUGGCCCAGGCACUGGGGGGCUGAGGUCCUCUGAGAAGGGACACAGGGCCUGGGGGGCUCUCUCAGCCCAUCAGCAGGAGAGGACUGACUCCAGAAAAAUCAGCGUUUGUACCCACUCAGGCUGCCAAGACCUGUGUCCGUCCUUCCAAGCUCAACCUUCAGAGUUCAUGAGGCCCCUUGCCCAGAAUGUCCACAGAGUUCAUGAGGCCCCUUGCCCGGAAUGUCCACAUUUGAAACCUCCCAACACCGAGCCCCAUUUCAAGUAUAACCAGGAGGGAAAAUGGUGCUUGAAAUAAGCAUGCCACAAAGGAAAACCUGCUUUCUCGAAAUGGGCCCUGGCCGCCCAGGCCCUGACCUCCCCGGCCAGGAUGGAACGUUCCAGAGACCCAUUAGUGCCAAAGGCAAAUGAAAACACACCCUGUGAAAAUGUCUCUGCUGUCUCCCAAGUAUUUAUUUUUCUGAGCGUGGGGAAGGAAGGCUUAAUUAAGAUGCCCUCAGGCGGGUACGAGGGGCAAAGUGGGAGCAGGGAGCGUGCUUCCUCUGUGGCCUUGGUUCAGACAACAGCCUUCAGCAAAGCUUUGCUCUAGAGGCUCAUAGGAAGGGACAGAGGGCACAGGCCCAGCUCAGCCUUUCCCCUGCCUUUCUUGGGGCCUGGGCAUGGACAGCACCGCCUGGCGACACACAACGGUGGGCUCUGAGGCUGUUUGUUACGCAGCAUUAAUGUGGCCGUCGGUGACCGCUACACGGUGACUGAUAACUGCACUGUGGGUAGAGCUCAGCCCGCAGGGCUCUGGUUUGUGACCUCUGGGCCAGGCAACUCUCAAGGCUUCUUCCAGUGCAGAAUAUGAUUCCUAGAGAAAAAAAAAAAAUUACACAUUCGUUUCCUAACAUAGGGCCCUGCAACCGGAGAACACCACCACAUUGGGAGCUGUGCUUUCCACUGUCUAGAAACCAUGGCUUGCCAGCUUGCAGGGUCACAUGGAGCCGCAUCUCCUUCUGGGGUGCAGGGGUGGGAACACUCGUGACCUGUAGCCGAGGGUGCAGGGAGAGGACAGGGUGAGCCAAGCAGAACAGCCGUCUGUGAGUCAUCGUCCCAGGACAACCAGCAAAUGGCACAACACCUGCUCUCUCAGCCCCCACCCGCACCUGCCAGCCUCACGUGGGGGGUGGGGGGGUUGGCCGCUGGACAGUCACAGCAGGAUCUGCCCAAACUGACCACCCUUCCAGGAGGAGGCAACAGAUGUUAGCAUCCACGGGUCCUGGGCCCCCCUUCCAUACCCAGACUUCAGGACAUGAAAAAUUGGGGUAAAUGAAGGGUGCACGAUUAUCUUCGGGCCCACACUGGCUUCCUGCGGGUGCCAGAGACAGCUGCCACCGCAUGCCAGGGACAAUGGCCCCGAGGAGGCGGGAGCUGCCAGGCCGGGGUGCUGGGGGACAGCUGGACGAGGUGCCGACAGGGGCUCAUUCCUCCCUGAAGCCGGCCCGCAGCUGCUGGGAGCGUGGCCAGCCACGGGCUUGUGUGUGCCUGGGUCCUGGGGGCUGUGCUGGCGCAGGCCGGGACGGCGGGGACAGGGUCCCACCUAGGGCAGGCUGGUCGGUCUCCGGGGAGGCAGCCCAGUCUUCAGCCUGCGUGCUCUUGGGGUGUCCGUCCCUUCCUCCCCAUUCUCCUCCUCUUCUCAGCGUCUUCUCCCCCAGCACCGGGCAGCCCUGGGGUGGCCGAGCCUCAUCUCCACUCCCCUCCCUCAGGCCUCUCCUGGGUCAGCCUGGCUUUUUCUCUUAGAGUUUUUGCUUGACAGGGCACUCUCAGGACGCCCUCCUCCUCCUCCCGCCUCGGGUUGGUGUGAGGCGCUCAGGGCAGGGCCCACGUGCCUGUGGUCACAGGACACUGAGCUGCAGGGUGAAAGGACCACACCUGGCCGAUCUCCCGGCCGCUGCAGCUCACUCUGGGUUUGCAGAGAAGCCUGUUUUUAAGUGAAGUGCCUUCUUAGAGAAUAAGACACACCUGUAUCUAAAUGUUAUUUUUAAACUGCUAGAUGCGCCUUAAUAUAGACAAAGAAGUAA